AUGAAUUUUUAUUUUCUUAUGAUGCGCAUAGCGAUGUCGUUAAACACGUUGAUAGUAGUUAUUGUUUGUAAACUACUAUGCCUGCUUCUUCUUUUAUCGAUUUUUUUAAUAAUAUGGAGAAAAAAAUAUUUCAAAAAGCGGGCAGAGAGAUCACAAAAAGAAACAGUUGUAGGUUUUUUUCAUCCAUAUUGUAAUUCUGGUGGUGGUGGUGAAAGAGUACUUUGGGCUGCAGUCAGUGCUAUACAAGCUAGGUAUUCCAAUGUACACAUAGUGAUUUAUACUGGAGAUCUUGAUGCUCAUCCAGAACAAAUUCUCAGUAAAACAGAAAAAGUAUUUAACUAUAAGAUUGAACGCAAAAUUGAGUUUGUAUACUUACAUAGACGAAAAUGGGUGGAAGCUUCAAUGUACCCCUAUUUUACACUCUUGGGACAAAGUUUAGGAUCAGUUUGGUUAGCCAUUGAAGCUUUAAACAGCUAUGUUCCAGAUAUUUACAUUGAUACCAUGGGUUAUGCAUUUACAUAUCCAUUAUUUAGAUACAUUGGUGGAUGUAGAAUAGCAACCUAUACUCAUUACCCAACAGUUUCAACUGAUAUGUUAAAACAUGUUUAUAGAAGAGUGAUUUCGCAUACUAAUAACAGAGUUGUAGCUAGAAAUCCAUUUUUAUCAGCUGCCAAACUGCUGUAUUACAAAUUAUUUGGAUAUAUAUAUGGUUGGGUUGGCAGUAGAGCUGAAAUUAUAAUGGUUAAUUCCACAUGGACUGAAGAACACAUUAACAGAAUUUGGAAAUGUCCAUUAAAAACUCAUAAAAUUUAUCCGCCGUGUGAUGUGAAACAUUUAACGUCGCUACCUCUUCUCAGUGAUGAUGAAAAAUGUAAUAGUAUUCGUAUAGUUUCAGUUGCACAAUUCAGGCCAGAAAAAAAUCAUCCAUUAAUGUUAAGAGCCAUGUAUGAACUUAGAUCGAUCGUUAAAGAAGAUGUUUGGGAGAAGAUUCGACUAAUUCUUAUUGGUUCCUGUCGAAAUUUUGAAGAUGAAGCUCGCAUGAAAGACAUGCAAGAUUUAUCGAAACACUUUGCAUUAGAAGAAAACGUGGAAUUUAAAUUAAACGUACCGUAUUCAGAGCUUACCUCCGAACUUCAGAGAGCAACAAUCGGUUUACAUACAAUGUGGAAUGAGCACUUUGGGAUUAGCAUUGUUGAAUGUAUGGCAGCUGGAUUAAUAAUGGUAGCUCAUGCAUCAGGUGGUCCAAAAGCUGAUAUAAUAGUAACUCAACCUGGAUCUCAGAAUGGUUUCUUAGCCUCGGAAGCGGAAGAAUAUGCAAAAAUAAUAGCACAUAUUAUUAAUAUGAAUCCAGAAGAGAGGACUGCAAUUAGGAUGGUUGCCAGAGCGUCUGUAAAUCGAUUUUCCGAUGAAGUAUUUGAAAGAGAAUUUUUGAGAACAAUAGAACCAUUCUUCAGGCAAAAACAGGAAUAACUUCUAAAAAAUUUGUUAAUAAAUGAAUACGCCCUUCACAUUCUAAUAGCAUUUAUUACGCUAUAAAACGUACAAACGUAAUUGUUUACCUUAUAUAUAUUUGUUUUUAUAUCCACAGCCUUCGCAUUCUAAAGCAUAAGAGACGUUAUCUUCAUCUUCAUUUUCGCGUAAGUUAAAGCGAAGAUUGAAAUCCUUUAACAUUAGUUCGGCUACUUUUAUGGCAGUUUCAGUGUGACAAAAAGGAACAACAGACAUACUUUAAUAGGAACAACACCAGCAACAUAUGCCCAUCCUGCUACCUCGCUAGGAACCCCUGGAUCAGUUAAAGUAAUAGCCUUCAAUGAUUGCACUGGUUUUAUGUAUAAAUGUACCUCUCCACCUCCCUUUGGAUAAUAACCCCUCCAUUGAUUAUUAAAAAGUUAAUAUUUUCUAAAUACUAUGAAUAAUUUCCAUAUAAUUUGUACAUAUUAAACAUACCUUGUUACAACAUUGAAA
Non-coding RNA from Osmia lignaria (orchard mason bee), 1965 nucleotides. Lineage: Eukaryota; Metazoa; Arthropoda; Insecta; Hymenoptera; Megachilidae. The record is from RefSeq and is a predicted model, not a curated record.